This is a long non-coding RNA of Mastomys coucha (southern multimammate mouse), 1394 nucleotides long. RefSeq lists it as uncharacterized. The record is from RefSeq and is a predicted model, not a curated record. The transcript has 2 exons. NCBI's taxonomy places the organism in Eukaryota, Metazoa, Chordata, Mammalia, Rodentia, Muridae.
GGCUGGCGGGCUCUCCACGAAGCCGCUCUCCCCGCGGUACCCGGGACCCUCGGCGGCGUCCGCUCCGGCCCGCCGGGCUCAGCGAAAGGCGCACGCGGACUCCCGCUCCGGGAUGGAUGGAGAGCGAAGGAGGACGCCCACUGGCGCCCCCCCGCCUUGCUCGGAGACCCCCUCCAAGGAGGCGACCCUACCCACGUCCGCGUUCCCUGCCGACCACUGACAAAAGAAACCUCGGCCAAACCCUUGGAGUGGAGGGGCGUGUUGCGUGGUGUUUAGUUUAAAAUCGUAGCUUCCUAAGCUACUUCUCCGUCCAGGCUUGGCGCUUCGUUACUCCCGUGAUCCUCGGGAAUCGCGAACGUGUAGAGAGGUCAAGCGUCCGAUGGGAAUGCAACGUGUCACGACGUGUUUUAAAAAAAAAAAAAAUUUUUUUUUUUUUUUAGGUUUUAUUGUAAGUUCUUUCGGGAAACUUUUUUUUUUUUCCAAAGAGGCAGACGAUCCAGUAAUCUUUUGGGGACGUUGCCAUGGUAAAAGAUAGACUGGGUGGAAAGCGAACCCGACUGACACCUGCAGGAGGUGAGACACUGAGCUUGCCCGCGUUCUAGGCGGGCGGGUACCUCCAGGGGCCCGUCUCUUCCCUCGCGGUCCUAAACAACCUGUUCAGAGCCUGAGGCAUAUCUUUGCCUCUGAUGGGAAUCUUGGCUGCAGACCACCACAUCUCUGCUGAGUUAUUUCCCAGCCUGCCUCCACUGGCAGUCAGCAAGUUUGGCUGGUGCUACUAGAUACCGCGUACAGUAUGCUCAGUAACUCCCUAACAUAUGCUUUAGUAUUAAUUGCUUGUCGCUUAAAACACACACACACACACACACAUUUUCACUCUCUAACCAGUAGAGUACUCUCCAGUGAGUCAUGACAACUGAAUGCUUCAAGGUCCCCCCACCAACAGACUGCUUAUCCGCAUUGAAACUCCUCCCUUCCAGGACCUGCACAGGUGUUCCAGCUUCUUCCGCCCCAACCUUCCUGUUUGCCUAGUUCUGCUCCCCGUUAAAGUCCAGGCAAACAGCCAGAGAGCUCUCCAGGCAGUCUAACCACCACUCACCAAAUUCUUUGCUGCCUUUUCCUGAGAGCUAUUCCAGUGCUGAGCUGUGACUUACCGAAGCGCUGCCUUAGAAGUUAAGAAAGACCUCAGGACCAUAAUUCAAACCAAAAUGACACCUUUAAGAGGCAGAGGGCAGGUGAAUCUCUGAGUUCAAGGGCACCCUGGUCUACAUGUGGAGUUCCAGGGCAGCCAGGGGUACAUAGACCGUGUCUCAAACAAAACUAAAAUAAGCUAUUAGUCAUAUUAAGGCUAUACUGUCUACGUAAUUCCCCAAUAAAGCAUAAAGUUUUGUCUCCAA